AUUGGCUGGAGACAAACGUAAUUAGGAAGAUGGAGUCUCACUCUGUUGCCAGGCUGGAGUGCAGGGGCACAAUCUCGGCUCACUGCAAUCUCCACCUCCCGGGUUCGAGUGAUUCUCCUGCCUCAGCCUCCCGAGUAGCUGGGACUACAGGUUGUUGGCUUCUUUAGCACCCAGUGGGACACAUGAGGCAAAGAGAAAAUUCAAAGACCUUCCUGCUGAGUCAUUCCUUGGGUCCUGAAGUCCCCAGCCAGUUUGUCUUCUUCUCACCACCUUUCAGAGUCUUGUUUGUUUUAUAAAUAAUUAUCAGGGUUUUUAGCUAUACUUAGCGGGAAGAUCAGUGUAAAGCACACCUACUCUAUCUUUCUGGAAGCAGAAGUCCAGUCUCAUGUACUAAGACAAUGGAAGAAAGAACAACAACAACAAAAUCA
Molecule: long non-coding RNA, 428 nt
Organism: Macaca fascicularis (crab-eating macaque)
Lineage: Eukaryota; Metazoa; Chordata; Mammalia; Primates; Cercopithecidae
Source: Ensembl